Molecule: ribosomal RNA, 254 nt
Filed under: uncultured bacterium
Lineage: Bacteria
Description: partial 16S ribosomal RNA
Rfam family: Bacterial small subunit ribosomal RNA
Source: RNAcentral
GUGGAUUAGAUACCCUGGUAGUCCACGCCGUAAACGGUGGGCACUAGGUGUGGGGACCAUUCCACGGUCUCUGCGCCGCAGCUAACGCAUUAAGUGCCCCGCCUGGGGAGUACGGCCGCAAGGCUAAAACUCAAAGGAAUUGACGGGGGCCCGCACAAGCGGCGGAGCAUGCGGCUUAAUUCGAAGCAACGCGAAGAACCUUACCUAGGCUUGACAUGCAGGGAAAUCUGGCAGAGAUGCCAGGUCCUUCGGGG